This 459-nucleotide ribosomal RNA is filed under the name uncultured bacterium. RNAcentral's name for it is "partial 16S ribosomal RNA". It matches the Rfam family "Bacterial small subunit ribosomal RNA", at positions 338 to 795 of the family's 1533-position model. The record is from RNAcentral.
CCUACGGGUGGCAGCAGUGAGGAAUAUUGGUCAAUGGCCGGAAGGCUGAACCAGCCAAGCCGCGUGAGGGAGGAAGGCGCAGAGCGUCGCAGACCUCUUUUGCCGGGGGACAAAAGGCCGGACUCGUCCGGUCCUGAGGGUACCCGGAGAAAAAGCAUCGGCUAACUCCGUGCCAGCAGCCGCGGUAAUACGGAGGAUGCGAGCGUUAUCCGGAUUUAUUGGGUUUAAAGGGUGCGUAGGCGGGUUAUCAAGUCAGCGGUAAAAUCGUGGAGCUCAACUCCAUCCAGCCGUUGAAACUGAUGAUCUUGAGUGGGCGAGAAGUAUGCGGAAUGCGUGGUGUAGCGGUGAAAUGCAUAGAUAUCACGCAGAACUCCGAUUGCGAAGGCAGCAUACCGGCGCCCGACUGACGCUGAAGCACGAAAGCGUGGGUAUCGAACAGGAUUAGAUACCCUUGUAGUC